UGGGGAAUAUUGGACAAUGGGCGGAAGCCUGAUCCAGCAACGCCGCGUGAGGGAUGACGGCCUUCGGGUUGUAAACCUCUUUCGCCUGUGACGAAGCCCUUGUUUUUGGCUGGGGGUUGGACGGUAGUGGGUAAAGAAGCACCGGCCAACUACGUGCCAGCAGCCGCGGUAAUACGUAGGGUGCGAGCGUUGUCCGGAAUUAUUGGGCGUAAAGGGCUCGUAGGCGGUUUGUCGCGUCGGGAGUGAAAGCCCAGGGCUUAACCCUGGGUCUGCUUCUGAUACGGGCAGACUAGAGGUAUGUAGGGGAGAACGGAAUUCCUGGUGUAGCGGUGAAAUGCGCAGAUAUCAGGAGGAACACCGGUUGGCGAAGGCGGUUCUCUGGGCAUUACCUGACGCUGAGGAGCG
Molecule: ribosomal RNA, 405 nt
Filed under: uncultured Nocardioidaceae bacterium
Lineage: Bacteria; Bacillati; Actinomycetota; Actinomycetes; Propionibacteriales; Nocardioidaceae
Description: bacterial SSU rRNA
Rfam family: Bacterial small subunit ribosomal RNA
Source: RNAcentral